AUAUCAAUAAGCGGAGGAAAAGAAACUAACAAGGAUUCCCCUAGUAACGGCGAGUGAAGCGGGAAGAGCUCAAAUUUGAAAUCUGGCAGUCUUCGAUUGUCCGAGUUGUAAUCUAUAGAGGCGUUUUCCGUGCCGGACCGUGUCCAAGUCUCCUGGAAAGGAGUAUCAAAGAGGGUGAUAAUCCCGUACUUAACACGACCACCGGUGCUCUGUGAUACGUCUUCUACGAGUCGAGUUGUUUGGGAAUGCAGCUCAAAAUGGGUGGUGAAUUCCAUCUAAAGCUAAAUAUUGGCGAGAGACCGAUAGCGAACAAGUACCGUGAGGGAAAGAUGAAAAGCACUUUGGAAAGAGAGUUAAACAGUACGUGAAAUUGUUGAAAGGGAAACGAUUGAAGUCAGUCGUGUUCUUUGGAUUCAGCCAGUUCUGCUGGUCUACUUCCUUGGAACGGGUCAACAUCAGUUUUGUCCGGUGGAUAAAGGUAGUAGGAAUGUGACUUCUCCGGAAGUGUUAUAGCCUAUUAUCACAUACACUGGGUGAGACUGAGGACUGCAGCUCGCCUUUAUGGCCGGCCUUCGGGCACGUUCGAGCUUAGGAUGUUGACAUAA
RNAcentral lists this ribosomal RNA (605 nucleotides) under basidiomycete yeast sp. BG01-8-5-001B-1-1. RNAcentral's name for it is "eukaryotic LSU rRNA". It matches the Rfam family "Eukaryotic large subunit ribosomal RNA", at positions 40 to 634 of the family's 3401-position model. The record is from RNAcentral. Lineage: Eukaryota; Fungi; Basidiomycota.